UACGGAGGGGUGCAAGCGUUGCUCGGAAUUAUUGGGCGUAAAGGGUAGGUAGGUGGUCUCAUUUGUCUGGGGUGAAGCCUUGAGCUUAACUCAAGAAGUGCCCCGGAAACGGUGAGACUGGAGUCCUGGAGAGGGUCGUGGAAUUCCCGGUGUAGCGGUGAAAUGCGUAGAGAUCGGGAGGAACACCAGAGGCGAAGGCGGCGACCUGGACAGGCACUGACACUCAACUACGAAAGCGUGGGGAGCAAACAGG
This 253-nucleotide ribosomal RNA is filed under the name uncultured bacterium. RNAcentral describes it as "partial 16S ribosomal RNA". It matches the Rfam family "Bacterial small subunit ribosomal RNA", at positions 524 to 776 of the family's 1533-position model. The record is from RNAcentral.